AUACGGAGGAUGCAAGCGUUAUCCGGAUUUAUUGGGUUUAAAGGGUGCGUAGGCGGUUUGCUAAGCGGGAGGUGAAAUGCCGGCGCUCAACGUCGGAAGUGCCUCCCGAACUGGUGGACUGGAAUGACUCUGCCGUGGGAGGAAUGUGUAGUGUAGCGGUGAAAUGCUUAGAGAUUACACAGAACACCGAUUGCGAAGGCAUCUCACGAAGUGUUGAUUGACGCUGAGGCACGAAAGCGUGGGGAUCAAACAGGAUUAGAUACCCUGGUCGUCCACGCAGUAAACGAUGAUGGCUAACCGCUGGGCUUAUCAGUUCAGUGGCCAAGCGAAAGCGAUAAGCCAUCCACCUGGGGAGUACGACCGCAAGGUUGAAACUCAAAUGAAUUGGCGGGG
Molecule: ribosomal RNA, 393 nt
Filed under: uncultured bacterium
Lineage: Bacteria
Description: partial 16S ribosomal RNA
Rfam family: Bacterial small subunit ribosomal RNA
Source: RNAcentral